CCUACGGGAGGCUGCAGUGAGGAAUAUUGGUCAAUGGGCGGGAGCCUGAACCAGCCAAGUCGCGUGAGGGAAGACGGUCCUAUGGAUUGUAAACCUCUUUAGGCGGGGAGCAAUGCCGGGCACGCGUGCCCGGAGGGAGAGUACCCGCAGAAUAAGCAUCGGCUAACUCCGUGCCAGCAGCCGCGGUAAUACGGAGGAUGCGAGCGUUAUCCGGAUUUAUUGGGUUUAAAGGGUGCGUAGGCGGAUUUUUAAGUCAGCGGUAAAAUGUCCGGGCUCAACCCGGGCCGGCCGUUGAAACUGGGGAGCUUGAGUGGGCGAGAAGUAUGCGGAAUGCGUGGUGUAGCGGUGAAAUGCAUAGAUAUCACGCAGAACUCCGAUUGCGAAGGCAGCGUACCGGCGCCCGACUGACGCUGAGGCACGAAAGCGUGGGGAUCGAACAGGAUUAGAUACCCGAGUAGUC
RNAcentral lists this ribosomal RNA (460 nucleotides) under uncultured bacterium. RNAcentral's name for it is "partial 16S ribosomal RNA". It matches the Rfam family "Bacterial small subunit ribosomal RNA", at positions 338 to 795 of the family's 1533-position model. The record is from RNAcentral.